UGGGGGAUAUUGCACAAUGGGCGAAAGCCUGAUGCAGCGACGCCGCGUGGGGGAUGAAGGCCUUCGGGUUGUAAACUUCUUUUGCUCUGAACAAGGCGCACCAUGGGGUGUGUUGAGUGUAGGGGUUGAUUAGCGCCGGCUAACUACGUGCCAGCAGCCGCGGUAAUACGUAGGGCGCGAGCGUUGUCCGGAAUUAUUGGGCGUAAAGGGCUUGUAGGUGGCUGGUUGCGUCUGUCGUGAAAGCUCAUGGCUUAACUGUGGGUUUGCGGUGGGUACGGGCUGGCUUGAGUGCAGUAGGGGAGGCUGGAAUUCCUGGUGUAGCGGUGGGAUGCGCAGAUAUCAGGAGGAAUACCGGUGGCGAAGGCGGGUCUCUGGGCUGUUACUGACACUGAAAAGCGAAAGAAUAGGGAGCGAACAGG
RNAcentral lists this ribosomal RNA (419 nucleotides) under bacterium. RNAcentral's name for it is "partial 16S ribosomal RNA". It matches the Rfam family "Bacterial small subunit ribosomal RNA", at positions 355 to 776 of the family's 1533-position model. The record is from RNAcentral.